CGGGGCGUAGCUCAGCUUGGCUAGAGCACAUGGUUUGGGACCAUGGGGUCGGAGGUUCAAAUCCUCUCGCCCCGA
RNAcentral lists this transfer RNA (75 nucleotides) under bacterium ADurb.Bin363. Its description in RNAcentral is "tRNA-Pro". It matches the Rfam family "tRNA". From Rfam's summary of the family: Transfer RNA (tRNA) molecules are approximately 80 nucleotides in length. RNAcentral also lists the same sequence under 1 other name. The record is from RNAcentral.